GCGCACCAGUCGAGAAUCUUCGGCAAUGGGCGAAAGCCUGACCGAGCGACGCCGCGUGCGGGAUGAAGGCCUUCGGGUUGUAAACCGCUGUCAGAGGGGAGGAAAUGUCAGGGGGUCACCUCCUGGCUUGACCUAUCCUCAGAGGAAGGACGGGCUAAGUUCGUGCCAGCAGCCGCGGUAAGACGAACCGUCCAAACGUUAUUCGGAAUUACUGGGCUUAAAAGGGUGCGUAGGCGGCCGUGCAAGUCGGGUGUGAAAAUCCCCUCGGGCUCAAACCCGAGGAACUGCGCCCGAUACUGCUCGGCUAGAGGGAGACAGAGGUGAGCGGAACUUGCGGUGGAGCGGUGAAAUGCGUUGAUAUCGCAAGGGAACA
This 373-nucleotide ribosomal RNA is filed under the name uncultured microorganism. RNAcentral describes it as "bacterial SSU rRNA". It matches the Rfam family "Bacterial small subunit ribosomal RNA", at positions 346 to 708 of the family's 1533-position model. The record is from RNAcentral.